This 253-nucleotide ribosomal RNA is filed under the name uncultured bacterium. RNAcentral describes it as "partial 16S ribosomal RNA". It matches the Rfam family "Bacterial small subunit ribosomal RNA", at positions 524 to 776 of the family's 1533-position model. The record is from RNAcentral.
UAGGAAGGGGGCUAGCGUUGUGCGGAAUCACUGGGCGUAAAGCGCACGCAGGCGGAUCGAUAAGUCGGGGGUGAAAGCCCGGGUCUCAACCUCGGAAUUGCCUUCGAUACUGUCGGUCUCGAGUCCGGGAGAGGUGAGUGGAAUUCCUAGUGUAGAGGUGAAAUUCGUAGAUAUUAGGAAGAACACCAGUGGCGAAGGCGGCUCACUGGCCCGGUACUGACGCUCAGGUGCGAAAGCGUGGGGAGCAAACAGG